GCUGAGUAUAAAAGCCAGAGAGCGAUGCCUUCGCUCACAGAUCCAAUCACAGACACAAUGACUAAGAUGCUGCUCUUGCUCCUACUGGUGACAGCAUGUGCUGUCAGUCCACAAGGUAAAGAACAGAUUUCUAUAUUUCCCAAAGCUGAUGCAGAUUAGAC
Long non-coding RNA from Cyprinodon tularosa, 161 nucleotides. RefSeq lists it as uncharacterized. The transcript is spliced from 2 exons. Lineage: Eukaryota; Metazoa; Chordata; Actinopteri; Cyprinodontiformes; Cyprinodontidae. The record is from RefSeq and is a predicted model, not a curated record.